This 1267-nucleotide long non-coding RNA is filed under the name Cyanistes caeruleus (blue tit). RNAcentral's name for it is "lncRNA (ENSCCEG00000011786.1)". The record is from RNAcentral. Lineage: Eukaryota; Metazoa; Chordata; Aves; Passeriformes; Paridae.
AUGUGCUUGGAGCAACAUCCACAUCCAGCAGUUAACAUCUGUCCUAGCUGUUGGUGCUACAGGGAUGGGAGGAUAACUCAAGGGGCUGCCUGUAAGCUUGGCACUGGGCAGGACUCCUGCUGCCUGCUGCCUGUCCCCAGCCGCCACCCCAGGCAGCACAGUCCUGCUCCAGAGUGCUUCAGCUUCCUUCAGUGCUGGGUGACUAUUUGUGCCCUCAGAGUUGCACGGACAUGUAAUGAGAAAACAGUGAAGCCACAGAGGCCAUGAGAGGAGAAGGAAUACAUCAGGACCUGUGGUUUUAUAACAUGAGAGAAGGUGGGUGAAUGAAAGUGCUGUCAGGUGAAGAGGAACAAGAGGAGGGGAAAAGAAAGUGAUGAUGAAGAAGUAGUUACAGUAACACAAAGGGGAGUGGCUGAAAUGAUCAUGCAAGAAAGUGGAAACCGGACACAAAGCCAGAGGAGAGAAUGGACAGGGAAAUUUGGCAAUCCUUCCAUCCUCUGCUGUGACUGCCAAGAUUGUCUGACCACAUGAAUACAAAACUAUAGUCUACAAAGUUAUGAAUUUGAUGUGCUGAAAAACUAGAGUAGAAAAUUGUUCUGUGUAGAGUGAUGAUUGUGAUGAACCCCAUUAAAAGCUGUUCUGUUUAUAAUGGAUAUGUCUUCAGAAUAAUAGAACAGGUUUAUUAGAUCAAGUUAUAUGCUGUCCAUUUUUUGUUAGUGAUAAAAGUUUUUAAGGAUUUCCUGUCUUUUUAGUAUUUCCCUGUGACUUCUCAUAAAAUUCUUGCUACUGUGCUAAUGGAAUUAAUAUAGGCAUUUUGAAAUAGGUAUGUUCCAUCUUCUGUAUAGCAAACAGUAGCAGGAUCUAAUACUGGUGAACAAAUACAGAAAACAGGCCAUUCUCGGAUUUCUUAACUUGUAACUAGAUAAAUCUUUUCCAUGUAAACAAAUUCUGUAGAAGAAAGAUUUCAUGCUAUCUCUGUGUAAGACUCAGCAUCUGACAGGUGUGCUGGUUUUGGCUGGGACUGAGUUAUUUAUCUCUAUGGCAGCUGGUAUGGGGCUGUGUUUAGGAUUUAUGGUGGGAAUGGUAUUGAUAACACAGGGAUGAUUCACCUGUAACUGAGCAGAGCUUGCACAGAGACAAGGCCUUUUCUGGUUCUCACACCUUCCCCCCACCCCCCACCCCAUCAGCAAGGAGUCUAGGAGUGCACAAGGAGCUGGGAGGGAAAACAUCAGGGACAGCUGACCUUGAUGACCAAAGAGAUACCCCC